RNAcentral lists this long non-coding RNA (1647 nucleotides) under Vigna radiata. Its description in RNAcentral is "long non-coding RNA (VRAD_LNC004793)". The record is from RNAcentral. Lineage: Eukaryota; Viridiplantae; Streptophyta; Magnoliopsida; Fabales; Fabaceae.
AAGGAGGACCUUAUUAGAAAACUUAUAAUCAUGUCAAGGAUGAGUACUUUAAGGACGAGAUGGCAAGGAUGAGAACUUUAAGGCCGAGAUAGCAAUGAGAAGAAGGUCGAGAUGUCAAGGAUGAGAACUUUAGGAUCGAGAUGGUAAGGAUGAUAACUCAAGGUCAAGAUGUCAAGGAUGAGAACUUUAAGGAUGAGAUGGCAAGGAUGAUAACUUAAGGCCAAGAUGACAAUGUUGAGAACUUCAAGGCUGAGAUAGCAAAGAUGAGAACUCAAGGCUGAUAUGGCAAGGAUGAGAACUCAAGGUCGAGAUGGCAAGGAUGAGAACUCAAGGCCGAGAUGAAAAGAAUGAGAACUUCAAGACUAAGGUGGCAAGGAUGGGAACUUUAAGGCCCAGAUGGAAAUGAUGAGAACUCAAUGUCGAGAUGGCAAGGAUGAGAGUUUCAAGACCAAGAUGGAAAAGAGGAGAACUUCAAGGCUAAGAUGAUGAGGAUGAGAACUCAAGGAUGAGAUGGCAAGGAUGAGAACCCAAACUGAUAUGGCAAGGAUGAGAACUCAAGGCCGAGAUGGAAAGAAUGGGAUAUCAAGGAUGUGAACUUCAAGGUCAAGGUGGAAUGGAUUUGAACUUCAAGACUGAGGUGGCAAGGAUGAGAACCCAAGGCUGAUAGGUUGAGGAUAAUAUUUCAAGACUGAGAAGUCGAGACUAGGAGGUUGAGGUCGGGAGGUUGAGGCCAAUAGGUAAAGGCUAGGAGGUAGAGGUCGGGAUGUUAAGAAUAAGAAAUUGAGGUCAAGAAGGCAAGGACGAGAACCCAAGGUUGAGAGAUUGAGGAUGAUAUGUCAAGACUGAGAAAUUGUGGUUGAGAGGUUGAGGCCAAUAGGGCGAGGCUGAGAUGUCGGGGCCAAUAUAUCAAAGUCGAUUGGUAAAGACCAUGAGGAUGUUAAGAUUAAAAAAUCGAGGCUGAGAAGCCAAGAACAAGCACCCAAGGCCUAGAUGUGAACAAAGUUCUUUUGCAUUGCCAUUAUUGACCAUCUCACUAGAAAGAUUUCCAACUUUUCUUGUACUUGCCAUCUUACUUAUCGUAGACACCAUAUACCUUUUUCUUCCUUGAAUAUAUCUCGUCCCACAUUAGGCGCCAAUGUUCUUACAAGACUAAAAUCACCAUGUGAAGACCUUCAAACUCCUUCCAGCAAAAACUCCCUACUCUUCAAACUGAAAUAUUUCAAGACUUGGAUGUAGCCUCAAACCAAAAGAGGGUGUGCUUUCAACUUCACGCCUUCAAGCUGAGAUGUUCUAGGUCCACAUCUCUUGAAGACCAAGAAAGGGUGUGCUUGUAGAAGAUACUUUGACACUCAUGUUAGUUAAAUGCGUUAAAUAAUAGUAAAUGUUGUAAUAAUGGGUUUAUAAGUUAUUACUAUGUGAAAAAUGCUAUUUAUACUAGACUUAUGUACUUUUACCUGGUUGGGUUUGGACUUAUAAAUAAUUACCUUAAUUAACCUUGAUUAGCAACUUGUGUAAUUCUCCUUAACCCUAAGUCAAAUUUCAAGUUAACCAGGACUUAUAAAUAAUUACCUUAAUUAACCUUGAUUAGCAACUUGUGUAAUCCUCCUUAACCCUAAGUCAAAUUUCAAGUUAACCAAAAUGAUCUUA